This 441-nucleotide ribosomal RNA is filed under the name uncultured bacterium. Its description in RNAcentral is "partial 16S ribosomal RNA". It matches the Rfam family "Bacterial small subunit ribosomal RNA", at positions 338 to 795 of the family's 1533-position model. The record is from RNAcentral.
CCUACGGGUGGCAGCAGUGGGGGAUAUUGCACAAUGGGGGGAACCCUGAUGCAGCGACGCCGCGUGGGUGAAGGAGUGCUUCGGCAUGUAAAGCCCUAUCGGCAGGGAAGAAGCAAGACGGUACCUGACUAAGAAGCCCCGGCUAAGUACGUGCCAGCAGCAGCGGUAAUACGUAGGGGGCGAGCGUUAUCCGGAUUCACUGGGUGUAAAGGGAGCGUAGACGGCCAUGCAAGCCAGGGGUGAAAGCCCGGGGCCCAACCCCGGGACUGCCCUUGGAACUGUGCGGCUAGAGUGCGGGAGGGGCAGGCGGAAUUCCUGGUGUAGCGGUGAAAUGCGUAGAUAUCAGGAGGAACACCGGCGGCGAAGGCGGCCUGCUGGACUGCGACUGACGUUGAGGCGCGAAAGCGUGGGGAGCGAACAGGAUUAGAUACCCGAGUAGUC